Sebastes umbrosus (honeycomb rockfish) is the source of this 178-nucleotide long non-coding RNA. RefSeq lists it as uncharacterized. The transcript has 3 exons. The record is from RefSeq and is a predicted model, not a curated record. NCBI's taxonomy places the organism in Eukaryota, Metazoa, Chordata, Actinopteri, Perciformes, Sebastidae.
UUCAUUUGUGCCUGAAACCUAGCUAAGUUAGCUAACGUAUAUUGUGUGAGACGAGAGAUGAAGGUCACUGAGCGGUUUCACACUAAACUAAAUGAUACUACGACAACCUGAGACUUUCUUGUAAAAUUAUCUUUUAAAUUGACAAACAUCAUAUGUGUGAUUCAUAGCGCAAUUCAAA